UACGAAGGGGGCUAGCGUUGCUCGGAUUUACUGGGCGUAAAGGGCGCGUAGGCGGACAGUUUAGUCAGAGGUGAAAGCCCAGGGCUCAACCUUGGAAUUGCCUUUGAUACUGGCUGUCUUGAGUACGGGAGAGGUGAGUGGAACUCCGAGUGUAGAGGUGAAAUUCGUAGAUAUUCGGAAGAACACCAGUGGCGAAGGCGGCUCACUGGUCCGGUACUGACGCUGAUGUGCGAAAGCGUGGGGAGCAAACAGG
This 253-nucleotide ribosomal RNA is filed under the name uncultured bacterium. RNAcentral's name for it is "partial 16S ribosomal RNA". It matches the Rfam family "Bacterial small subunit ribosomal RNA", at positions 524 to 776 of the family's 1533-position model. The record is from RNAcentral.